GCUUCUCGGGUGUGUUUCUUAGUGGAAAUUGAUGGUACUGGUUGAAUCUGUGAGGCAGUUAGAGGAGGUGGGUUAAGAGAGAUUUUCUAUCUUACCUCCCUUCUUUCCUGGAAUGGGUAAGAACAGAAGAGAUUCUGUUAAACACAAAUUCGUAUCGUUUAUGAAGUACUUCCUCCAUACCUAUCACUGAAAACUAGAUGUGUAAGGAGAAAAACAGGAAGUACCUCAAACCUCUUGGAUUUUACAUUCAAGGUGGGGAGAUAUUUCCAUAGAUGACACAGAAUAAUAAAAAGUAGAAAGAAUUGAAAUGUGAAAGUGUGGGAUCCAGAUGAAUCGUAAGGAAUUUGGCCAAGCCAAGAAGCAUCACCUCCAAGUCUGUGGUUUCUACAGGGUGCUCCAGGGGCUCCCACCUGGGUGGGACUAGUUCGCAUGAAUUUGGAGACAAGGGUGUGUCUAAUCGAAAUUGGGCAACGGAACUAAAGAGAACGUAUCAUAUUUGGCCUUCUAAUUUCUUCUUUUUGGGUGGGGUCCUUUUGGAUCUCCCUGUCUUAACUGAGUUUUGCAGGCUCACACAGGGCUUCCCAGGGCCCAGACUGAUGACGGAUGAUAGGCUGAACAGACACUUGGGAAUGUCUUGCUCUUUGCAGAUACUGCGUGUGUCCUGGGCGGAGGAGGAGAGCCAUAUGCAAGCCUGUAGUACAGUCCUAUGAGCAAAAACUCAGACAUCUUUGAGCGAUAGAAGAGACAACUGGGCCGGGGGCCAGUUCAGUGCGGACCUACAUUUCAACCACCAUGAUGAAGAUGGGGCCUCCACGUGAAAAGUAACUACAAAACAGAACCAGAAAAUAGUCAUGCUGUUCAAAUAAAGAGACUGUGGCUCAGAAAAUACAAGCAACUUAUAAAAGAGAAAUAUCUGGACCACAAAGAGUCAACUCAUAGCUUUAUCUAAGGCUCCAGGGCUCUGAAGGUCAUGGGUGAACAAUUUUUUUAAUGAAGGAAAAUAAAUGAAUUAACGUGGUGACUUGUCCAGUUAAGCCAAAGAAGCCACACCAAGUGUUAGAGGACCACAGAGGAACCAGAGAGGAUCUGGGAAACCACCCAGGUGUUCAUUGUCUCCAAAGAGCUAAACCUUGCCUCAGAAAAAUGACCUUCUCCUAUCUUUCCUGCUGCAGCAAGAACCUCUGGUUUAACCAAUUAGCCUUACUGAAGUCUGCCCUGGGGACAAAUUGGAAACCUAUAACCUUAGGACAGCAAGGUAAGGAGAGCCAAUGCACAGCCCCUUCACUUCUCUGGCCCCUCAGUCCCCUCUUGUCUUAAUUGGGCAGUGUGGGUCAAACGCUGCACACGUCCCUUCUGAUUCUGCACGCA
Molecule: long non-coding RNA, 1368 nt
Filed under: Homo sapiens (human)
Lineage: Eukaryota; Metazoa; Chordata; Mammalia; Primates; Hominidae
Description: HSALNT0308907
Source: RNAcentral